UGCCAGCAGCCGCGGUAAUACAGAGGGUGCAAGCGUUGUUCGGAAUCAGUGGGCGUAAAGCGCGCGUAGGCGGUUACGUAAGUCUGAUGUGAAAGCCCGGGGCUUAACCUCGGAAGUGCAUCGGAAACUGCGUAACUUGAGUCUCGGAGAGGGUGGUGGAAUUCCAGGUGUAGAGGUGAAAUUCGUAGAUAUCUGGAGGAACAUCGGUGGCGAAGGCGACCACCUGGACGAUGACUGACGCUGAGGUGCGAAAGCGUGGGUAGCAAACAGGAUUAGAUA
RNAcentral lists this ribosomal RNA (279 nucleotides) under uncultured bacterium. RNAcentral describes it as "partial 16S ribosomal RNA". It matches the Rfam family "Bacterial small subunit ribosomal RNA", at positions 506 to 784 of the family's 1533-position model. The record is from RNAcentral.